GACGAACCGUGCGAACGUUAUUCGGAAUCACUGGGCUUAAAGGGCGCGUAGGCGGGCCAUCAAGUCAGAGGUGAAAGCCCCCGGCUCAACCGGGGAAGUGCCUUUGAUACUGAUGGUCUCGAGGGGGAUAGGGGCGUGCGGAACUUCCGGUGGAGCGGUGAAAUGCGUAGAUAUCGGAAGGAGCACCGGUGGCGAAAGCGGCGCGCUGGAUCCCUUCUGACGCUGAGGCGCGAAAGCCAGGGGAGCGAACGGG
This 253-nucleotide ribosomal RNA is filed under the name uncultured bacterium. RNAcentral's name for it is "partial 16S ribosomal RNA". It matches the Rfam family "Bacterial small subunit ribosomal RNA", at positions 524 to 776 of the family's 1533-position model. The record is from RNAcentral.